ACGAGAUAUUAACUGUUUCAUAAAAAUUUUUAUUAGAAUUUUAUUUUUUAGUCAAAAAGCUAAAAUUUAUUUAAAAGACGAGAAGACCCUAUAAAUCUUUAUAUUUAGAUUAUUUUAAUUUUUUGGAUUUAUUUUAUUAAAAUAAUUAAUAAUAUUUUAUAGGGGGGAUAUUAAAAUUUAAUAAACUUUUAAUUAUUUAAAAUCAUUAAUUAAUGAAUAGUUGAUCCGUUAUUAACGAUUAAAAAUUUAAGUUAC
Molecule: ribosomal RNA, 255 nt
Filed under: Musca domestica (house fly)
Lineage: Eukaryota; Metazoa; Arthropoda; Insecta; Diptera; Muscidae
Description: partial 16S ribosomal RNA
Source: RNAcentral